ACCAAACCACCAGAGCUUCUCCAAGAGCAAAGGACUUCCAGGAGACCCCCCCACCCCAGCACACCAGACACAAGAAAGCCAGCGUUAGUUCGAGUAGAGCAUCACAUCUCACCUGAAGAUGUCUUCUGGGUCGUCGUCUCGGAGCAACUCGCCGAGCUCGGACUCGGAGUGGAGCAAGAAGGAGAACAAGAUGUUCGAGGAGGCGCUGGCCUACUACGGUGUGGGCGCCCCCAACCUCUGCGAGAAGGUGGCCAGCGCCAUGGGGGGCACCAAGUCCACUGAGGAGGUGCGCCGCCACUUCCAGUUCCUCGUCGACGACGUCAACAACAUCGAGCACGGUCGCAUCCCCUUCCCUAAGUACAAGACCCAAGGAUUCUGGACCUAGUAAAAGGACCAAGCAGUGUAAGAGCUCCAGUGGACAGUGAACAAAGUUGUACAAACUAGAUCUCUAAGAAGCAAGGAUGGACUGUUGUUCUAGGGGGAAGCAAGGCAAUCCAGCAUUGGUUAGAAUAACAGGAAGGGAAGUGAUAUUGUCGAUUGUGUGUACAAAAUAUAGUUACGUUAUGUCCAAGGUUAAGUCUGUCCCUAUGUUGUUGUAGAUUCUCGUCUACAUUCAUGAACUGUGUGUUGUUCAUUAUCCCCUCGAACUAAGUCGUCAAGUAAACUGUC
This 669-nucleotide ribosomal RNA is filed under the name Triticum aestivum (bread wheat). Its description in RNAcentral is "partial small subunit ribosomal RNA". The record is from RNAcentral. Lineage: Eukaryota; Viridiplantae; Streptophyta; Magnoliopsida; Poales; Poaceae.